RNAcentral lists this non-coding RNA (154 nucleotides) under Nippostrongylus brasiliensis. RNAcentral's name for it is "Eukaryotic large subunit ribosomal RNA". It matches the Rfam family "Eukaryotic large subunit ribosomal RNA", at positions 2829 to 2984 of the family's 3401-position model. Lineage: Eukaryota; Metazoa; Nematoda; Chromadorea; Rhabditida; Heligmosomidae. The record is from Rfam by way of RNAcentral.
ACUGGCUUGUGGCAGCCAAAUGUCCACAGGGACCUUACUUUUGAUCCUUUUGCGUGGAGUCUUCUAUCAUUGCGAUGCAGAAUUACCCGAGCAAUGGAUUGUUCACCCACUAAUAGGGAACGUGAGCCGGGUUUAGACCGUCGUGAGGCAGGUU